ACUAUUUUGGCAGAAUUUAAGUGCAACAGGUUUAGAACUUGUAAAUAUGAUUUAUCAUACAUAGUA
RNAcentral lists this transfer RNA (66 nucleotides) under Mantidae JZ-2017. Its description in RNAcentral is "tRNA-Leu". Lineage: Eukaryota; Metazoa; Arthropoda; Insecta; Mantodea; Mantidae. The record is from RNAcentral.